AUGUGUUCCAUUCCUUCCAUUGGGGCCAUAAACACCGUGCGUUCUCCUUCUAGCAAAAAAAACGCAUCACCACUCUCGCUCACGUCAUUGCCUUUCUCCAGUAUUUAUUUUCAUCGAUGACAUAUUAGAUCCACAACAAAUCGCAUAGCACUAGGUCAUGGCGAGAGGCCAUGGACUCUUCCUCCCAGCGCCUCUCUCUACUGAAGGUGACGAAGAGACCACAUCAAGUUAGAUCCAGCGGCAAAAAAAGUAAGAUACGCAUGCAGGUGAUGACAGUCAUCAUCUAAUUAAAUAAUUGGUUGCCACCACACGCACGGCCAAGGAUGGAGGACAAGGUAAUGAUAUCACAAUUAAGAAAAUGCUCUGCUGAUGGAUUAAACAAGUGCAGAAACUUUUGAUCUGAGGUAGCCUAAUAUUUUUUUAAUCUAAUUACAACGUAUUUUGAGCAUACUUUUCUGCAUGUAGUGUUCAUCCAAUCAGUCCGUCUAUGUGAUGUAUCAUUACUGCGUACGAAGAUUAGUUCGAGGAAACAAGUUUUCUAUUUUUUAUCAUAGAUCAGUCAAGCUAUGUGAUUUAUCAUUGUUGGGGCAUGCAAAUUCGUUCAAAGAAAAGAAAAUCGUAUUUUUAUCACAGAUUUCAACUCUCUUUGUUUGUCUCGGUUUUUCAUAUUUCAUACCUUAUCAUGAAACAUAUUCUUCUACCACAAAUCUCAAUUGAUCCUCUCACAUGUUACCUCAUCUCUGACAUGUAGGGUACAACAUCAAAUUCUAUUGAUAAGAUCACCGUCUGCCUUGAUCCUACAGACCUCUAAAUCCAUAAUUAUUCAGUACAUCCCAUGAAGUUGUCCAUCGAGAAACCACUGAUGCCCAAUGUACGAGUAAAGAAAAAGUUAUCUUUUAAUCGAGUUUGUUUUUGUGAUGGCUUAUAAUUGGAAUGUGCUUGAGUGCUUCUGACACUUUAUAAUAUAGGUGCAAUUUGCUUCUCACGUUCUAUGUUGUACCUGAGUUGAUGGGUUGUAUUAGAAUUCCAACUGAUUUGUCUUCCUUUUUGAGGUUCCAAGCAUAAUUUGCAAUUGAUUUUAUUCUCUCCAGGGAUUCUAAUCUUAAUCAAGUGUAUUUUCCGUAUGUUCCCAAAGCUAGCAUCGUUGUUGGGCAUAGGUUAUUAUCUCCAGGACAGAUGCUCAUGUUCCAUGCAAUAGACCUUGGAUGUACACAGAAUUUCUGUAAAUUACACACAAAAGCCACCAGAUUACAAAAGUUAUUUGAAUUAACCUUCUCUGAAUUCUUGAGACUGAAUUCGAACAGAACUAUGGCCGCGCCACCAGGCAAAAUAGGCCCAUGAUGGUUGUAUAUCUCACCAGGUCACCGUCUUGGCGAGCGUUAAUUACAUUGCCUAUUGGAUUACAGGUUAGAGUGGCCUAUCUUCUCUCGGAUAGUUUUUCUCAUUGUAGGGUACUAAAUUUUGACUUCCUAAUAAGUAACAAUUGGACGUGACAUUCGACCAUGCUCUAUAACUUCUGUAAGUUAAUAUAGGUUAAAAUAUGAUGAAUGUAUGCUUGGAUUAGAGAGUGGACCGAUAUUUUAAACAGAUUUUGUUUCCUAUUUUGCAGCAUAAUCAGAUUAUUUGCCGUGUAAUCCAAACUUAUGUAAACGUAUGCAUAGAACAACAUGGCAGUCAAAUACAAUACACCCAGGCUACCAAUUAUAAAGUUCAAUCUUACAUACAAGCAACACAACUAAACAAUUACGUAAUAAUAAUCUACAUUCAAGAAAAAUAUGCAGUUAUUUGUACACUCUUUGUUUUUUAGACAUGAGCAUGAUAAAGUUUUGUUUUAAUGCCAUGUAACUU
RNAcentral lists this long non-coding RNA (1848 nucleotides) under Hordeum vulgare. Its description in RNAcentral is "long non-coding RNA (HVUL_LNC015273)". Lineage: Eukaryota; Viridiplantae; Streptophyta; Magnoliopsida; Poales; Poaceae. The record is from RNAcentral.